Molecule: non-coding RNA, 115 nt
Organism: Triticum urartu
Lineage: Eukaryota; Viridiplantae; Streptophyta; Magnoliopsida; Poales; Poaceae
Source: Rfam
GAUCUACUUUCUCCGUUCCGAAUUACUUGUCGCAAGUAUGGAUAUAUCUAGAUGUAUUUUAGUUCUAGAUACACUUAUUUCUGCGACGAGUAAUUUGGAACGGAGGGAGUAGCUA